Molecule: ribosomal RNA, 2922 nt
Filed under: Staphylococcus aureus
Lineage: Bacteria; Bacillati; Bacillota; Bacilli; Caryophanales; Staphylococcaceae
Description: bacterial LSU rRNA
Rfam family: Bacterial large subunit ribosomal RNA
Source: RNAcentral
UUAAGUUAUUAAGGGCGCACGGUGGAUGCCUUGGCACUAGAAGCCGAUGAAGGACGUUACUAACGACGAUAUGCUUUGGGGAGCUGUAAGUAAGCUUUGAUCCAGAGAUUUCCGAAUGGGGAAACCCAGCAUGAGUUAUGUCAUGUUAUCGAUAUGUGAAUACAUAGCAUAUCAGAAGGCACACCCGGAGAACUGAAACAUCUUAGUACCCGGAGGAAGAGAAAGAAAAUUCGAUUCCCUUAGUAGCGGCGAGCGAAACGGGAAGAGCCCAAACCAACAAGCUUGCUUGUUGGGGUUGUAGGACACUCUAUACGGAGUUACAAAGGACGACAUUAGACGAAUCAUCUGGAAAGAUGAAUCAAAGAAGGUGAUAAUCCUGUAGUCGAAAAUGUUGUCUCUCUUGAGUGGAUCCUGAGUACGACGGAGCACGUGAAAUUCCGUCGGAAUCUGGGAGGACCAUCUCCUAAGGCUAAAUACUCUCUAGUGACCGAUAGUGAACCAGUACCGUGAGGGAAAGGUGAAAAGCACCCCGGAAGGGGAGUGAAAUAGAACCUGAAACCGUGUGCUUACAAGUAGUCAGAGCCCGUUAAUGGGUGAUGGCGUGCCUUUUGUAGAAUGAACCGGCGAGUUACGAUUUGAUGCAAGGUUAAGCAGUAAAUGUGGAGCCGUAGCGAAAGCGAGUCUGAAUAGGGCGUUUAGUAUUUGGUCGUAGACCCGAAACCAGGUGAUCUACCCUUGGUCAGGUUGAAGUUCAGGUAACACUGAAUGGAGGACCGAACCGACUUACGUUGAAAAGUGAGCGGAUGAACUGAGGGUAGCGGAGAAAUUCCAAUCGAACCUGGAGAUAGCUGGUUCUCUCCGAAAUAGCUUUAGGGCUAGCCUCAAGUGAUGAUUAUUGGAGGUAGAGCACUGUUUGGACGAGGGGCCCCUCUCGGGUUACCGAAUUCAGACAAACUCCGAAUGCCAAUUAAUUUAACUUGGGAGUCAGAACAUGGGUGAUAAGGUCCGUGUUCGAAAGGGAAACAGCCCAGACCACCAGCUAAGGUCCCAAAAUAUAUGUUAAGUGGAAAAGGAUGUGGCGUUGCCCAGACAACUAGGAUGUUGGCUUAGAAGCAGCCAUCAUUUAAAGAGUGCGUAAUAGCUCACUAGUCGAGUGACACUGCGCCGAAAAUGUACCGGGGCUAAACAUAUUACCGAAGCUGUGGAUUGUCCUUUGGACAAUGGUAGGAGAGCGUUCUAAGGGCGUUGAAGCAUGAUCGUAAGGACAUGUGGAGCGCUUAGAAGUGAGAAUGCCGGUGUGAGUAGCGAAAGACGGGUGAGAAUCCCGUCCACCGAUUGACUAAGGUUUCCAGAGGAAGGCUCGUCCGCUCUGGGUUAGUCGGGUCCUAAGCUGAGGCCGACAGGCGUAGGCGAUGGAUAACAGGUUGAUAUUCCUGUACCACCUAUAAUCGUUUUAAUCGAUGGGGGGGACGCAGUAGGAUAGGCGAAGCGUGCGAUUGGAUUGCACGUCUAAGCAGUAAGGCUGAGUAUUAGGCAAAUCCGGUACUCGUUAAGGCUGAGCUGUGAUGGGGAGAAGACAUUGUGUCUUCGAGUCGUUGAUUUCACACUGCCGAGAAAAGCCUCUAGAUAGAAAAUAGGUGCCCGUACCGCAAACCGACACAGGUAGUCAAGAUGAGAAUUCUAAGGUGAGCGAGCGAACUCUCGUUAAGGAACUCGGCAAAAUGACCCCGUAACUUCGGGAGAAGGGGUGCUCUUUAGGGUUAACGCCCAGAAGAGCCGCAGUGAAUAGGCCCAAGCGACUGUUUAUCAAAAACACAGGUCUCUGCUAAACCGUAAGGUGAUGUAUAGGGGCUGACGCCUGCCCGGUGCUGGAAGGUUAAGAGGAGUGGUUAGCUUCUGCGAAGCUACGAAUCGAAGCCCCAGUAAACGGCGGCCGUAACUAUAACGGUCCUAAGGUAGCGAAAUUCCUUGUCGGGUAAGUUCCGACCCGCACGAAAGGCGUAACGAUUUGGGCACUGUCUCAACGAGAGACUCGGUGAAAUCAUAGUACCUGUGAAGAUGCAGGUUACCCGCGACAGGACGGAAAGACCCCGUGGAGCUUUACUGUAGCCUGAUAUUGAAAUUCGGCACAGCUUGUACAGGAUAGGUAGGAGCCUUUGAAACGUGAGCGCUAGCUUACGUGGAGGCGCUGGUGGGAUACUACCCUAGCUGUGUUGGCUUUCUAACCCGCACCACUUAUCGUGGUGGGAGACAGUGUCAGGCGGGCAGUUUGACUGGGGCGGUCGCCUCCUAAAAGGUAACGGAGGCGCUCAAAGGUUCCCUCAGAAUGGUUGGAAAUCAUUCAUAGAGUGUAAAGGCAUAAGGGAGCUUGACUGCGAGACCUACAAGUCGAGCAGGGUCGAAAGACGGACUUAGUGAUCCGGUGGUUCCGCAUGGAAGGGCCAUCGCUCAACGGAUAAAAGCUACCCCGGGGAUAACAGGCUUAUCUCCCCCAAGAGUUCACAUCGACGGGGAGGUUUGGCACCUCGAUGUCGGCUCAUCGCAUCCUGGGGCUGUAGUCGGUCCCAAGGGUUGGGCUGUUCGCCCAUUAAAGCGGUACGCGAGCUGGGUUCAGAACGUCGUGAGACAGUUCGGUCCCUAUCCGUCGUGGGCGUAGGAAAUUUGAGAGGAGCUGUCCUUAGUACGAGAGGACCGGGAUGGACAUACCUCUGGUGUACCAGUUGUCGUGCCAACGGCAUAGCUGGGUAGCUAUGUGUGGACGGGAUAAGUGCUGAAAGCAUCUAAGCAUGAAGCCCCCCUCAAGAUGAGAUUUCCCAACUUCGGUUAUAAGAUCCCUCAAAGAUGAUGAGGUUAAUAGGUUCGAGGUGGAAGCAUGGUGACAUGUGGAGCUGACGAAUACUAAUCGAUCGAAGACUUAAUCAA